UAAAAAUAAAAGAUGUAGAAUAUAUUAGGCUUCAUAAUCAUUUAAAUAGAUGCAUGUAGUUUAUUUACCUUCUCGGUGAGAACUAACAACCAUUGAAAGCAAAUAGGUCUUUAGGAAAACUAUAUUGGCAAAAUGAGAUUAUUUAAAUUAAGAUUUCCAGUUCACUAGCUUAAGUUACUUUUACAUUUAUGAUUUAGGCUCUGAUUUAAAUCAUACUUUGUACUGUUAGUGUUCAAAAUUUAUCAUCAACAUUGAAGCUGUGAACACAAAAGACGUUCUUGGCAAGACUUGUGGAAUGCAAUGUCAGUAUAUUUCUCUGGAAUACUAAAAAUUUAGAAAACAAAACCUUUCUCAUGACUCUUAGAACUUUUGAUGUGUGUGGGGGGAAAACCUUGACAAGAUAAGCUGCGAACGGUAGUAUUUUAGUCAACAGAGUAAUGGGUGGCUGUUCCAGUGGCCUGAAAGGGGCCAAGGGCAGAGUAGAGGUACUGCUGACACAUGGCUCUGUGGUCAUUGGUGUUUUUAGAAGGGAAGGAAUAUUUGUAAAGAUUUUAUUGAAUAAAUAGCAUCAAUCUCUUCAUCAAAUAUAAAAGGACUGGUAAUGUUUGCUGUUGUUUUUGUUGAUUAGGAGAAAUACCAAGAAAAAUUGUUCUGCAUUAGCAGCAGAAAUACUGCGGAGUGGAAAGGACUUCCUAGAGCUUUUUAUUCAUUUAUUGUUCUGCUGAGCAAUUAGAGAAACAAAAUCUCUUUACACCAUUUUUACACUUGACAGAUUGGCGUUUGUUUUUCUCUGUUUAAAAAACCCCCAGCAAGCUGAGAUUUUCUUCAGUAAGGAAGGAAGUUUAGACCAAAAUUUCCAGAAUUUGUGAGUCUUAUUCUUGUGUUACCACAGCUGGGAAUACGAAGGGGAAGGUGUGGGCUUCAUGUGAAAGUUGUGGGGAGCCUUGUAAGCUGUGCAAGGCUGUAAAUCCUCAAAACCACCUCUGCUUCUCAGCAGUUUUCCAUGGAUCCUGGUGCAGCCAGGGUGCAGUGUGGUCCCAGGGGUGGGGGAGCCAUAGGUGGUGCUCAGGUGGGUGCAUUGAGAACAUGGUGCACUUACUCUCUUGCUUGAUCUCUUUCAGAUGAUCAAAGACAAUGGACUGCUCACUCUUUUCACAGGACCCAUAUAUGCUCAAGGUUUUUCCAGAAUUAAAUGCCUGUGAAAUCAGGAGCAGAAGAAUGGCUCUGGGCAUGGACUUACUAGCCCUUCACUUGCCUUUAGGAAGUGGUGUAAACAGGGAUCUGAUUUGCAUUCGUUAAGAAGUGGCAAUUUCAGCUUUAAAUAAUGAUGCUUUAAAUUGUGAUUUGCAUUUGUAUCUUUUAAGGAGUAAAUACCAGAUUGCAUACGUAGUUUUGUACCUUCCUUUUUUCAUUCUUCCUCAGAAUAUCUUGGAAUAGAAUAACCUCUAAGUUGUUACUGUGGCUUAUUGGCACCACAUUUUGAAACCCGAGUUCAAUAAUCAUAUUUCCUAUCCUCUCAAAAAAAAAAAAAAAAAAAAAAAAAAGGAAAAAGAAGGAAAGAAAUCCAUUAUUUGCUGAAUUGUUCAAAAUGUUGUUUGGAUCAUUUUGUGUGUACCCACUUCAGUGACCAGAAUGUCAAUGGAAGCUUUGUUUAAAUCUUUUUCUUUAUUUUUUUUCCUUCCAAUCCCACCCACACAUACACCUGUUCAUCUAAGUCUUUUGGGCCAGAUAUCAGUUUAUUUGGUUGGGCUUUAUGGCUUUUUUUUCCUCCCUCCUGCUUCAUUCAGUUAACUGCUUGUUGUCAGUUCUGGCACAUCCCCUUGUUUUCUGUGUGCUGCCCAUGGAAAAAAGGCUUGUUUCCAAAGGCAAAGAGGUAAUCUGGCUCGGAGUUAGAUUAACUGUUGCAGUAGCUCAUGAUAAACAUCUGUUGCAAUACUCCCAGAUGAGAACAUUGCUUUCAAAACUGUUUACGGCACAUUUUGAACCGUUCACUUUACUUGUGGUUUUAUUUUUUUCCCCCUCCAAUUACUAAAUUCUUUUGAAAGGACAUAAAUCCAUAGAGUCCAUCUUGGAGACUGUGUUUGUUUUGUGAUACAGACAAGGAAAUGUGGUUACUGAGUUACUGUUCAUGUGGUGGAGCCCCUGAAUAUUUCUGACUGGAGCACAGAAGCGUGUGCAUUCCUUAAUAAAAUCCAACUGCGGAGCAGGCCCCUGGGAGUGCUGCUGUGUGUCCGUGCUCUGCCUGUGGUGGAUGUUUUCCUCCUGCUCUGAAUUUGGCAAGAUAAGACUGGCGGGAAGUGGAGUUUAGCUUGGAUCUGAAACCAAGGGUGGGUGUGUGGUUGGAAGGGUUUGGCCAACUGGGCUUGGGACUUUGCCAUUGAGGAAACAUUCUGCUAUUUGUUUGGAAUAAUUUUUAAAUUUUGUUUGUUUGUCUUAUACAUUUUUUUAAAAAGUAUUUUAAUUCUAGAUUAAAUGGAUCACAUAAUGACAGUUUCUCCUGCAGUUGGCUUUUGAAGUUAGGUCUGCCAGCAGCCAUUUACUGCUGUAGCUGAGAAUCAGCAAGCAAACAAAGCAAGCUUUGGUAGGUUUUCCCAAAACAUCAACAACCUUCUUCCCCACCCCACCCAAACCACAAAACCAAACCAUUCUUGGUGUCUCUGGGAAAAUAACAUUGGAAAACAGUAUGGAAUACCUCAAAUGGUGUUUUCCAAAAAAUCGUUUUUCUUUCUUAUGUUAAUAAGUACGAUGCUCUUAAUGUAAUAGUGUUCCAAGUCUUUUCACCCAUAAUUUCUCAGAAGUUGAAAAGUGUUUCGUGCUGAAUUUCAUAUCUAAAUGUUUCCUAUCACAAUUAAAGAAAUCAGCUGGGUAGUUUGCAUAUGUGUUGAUGUUCACCAGAAGUAACUCUUUUUGCAUAGCAGUCUAACAAACAUAAAGAAAGGAGAUUUCCAAAUACCAAAGCUACUUGUAGUAAAAUACAAGAGUCUGUAACUUUAUUUCUUGCUGAUUUUCUUAGGUCUGGCAGAACCCAUGUUGUUUUAGCAAUAAAUCUGUAAGAACAGCUGUUCUGAUUCAGAACAAGCACUUAUAAUUCAAUAUCCUGUCUCUGAUGGUGAUCAGCAGGUAUCUAGGGAAGCAUACAAGCACAGUGAUAAAGUGAUGGAAUCUAAGGUGAGAUUUCUUAGUUUACCAGUUUUAUGGUGGUAUCAGGAUUUUCAGAAUCUGCUUCCUAAUCAUAAUGUUGAAAUGACAGGUGUGAGACACUUAACAGCCUCGGCUUUCUCUUAAAGACUGUGAUAGUGAUAGGACGAUAAAAAAAGGAAAAAACCCUGAGAAAUAAUGGAUGGUAUGUAAAAGAAAGAGAAAUGAUGGGACAGGCUGGGAAAAAGGAAAAAAAGGAGCCAUAAUUACUGCAUAGUGUAAAGAAAUGGCAGAAGAAGGUUGGUUUGUUACCCAGGAGAUGAUACCCUUCUGCACUGGAGCUCGCUGAGACCUUGGCCUGGCAGGUUGAGCCAUCACCUGCAUCACAUCACUGGGACACAGGGGAGAGAAAGGCAAAACCAGGAUAUGGAGAAAUCAUUGGCCUGAACCAGUUUUGAGGCAAGAAAGAUGGUAGAGGGCAGACAAAUUAAGUGUGGGAGAAGAAGCACAUGGGAAGGGGAGCAUGAGUGAUGGGAGUGUCCAAGAAACCUGCAUAAACUGAAUUAUUGUCUGUCUGUAAAUAUCUGUCCAUUCAAAUUGAUGAAUAAGAAAUGUCUGUGUAGAAAAUUUGUUUUGCAGGUUUGUACUGACACCCUUGGAGCACUGCUGUAUUUUUCCCAGGCUUCAAGACACCCAGGUUUUAUUUUUAGUGCUGCCCUGGGUUCUGUUUUGUGGUGAACCUGUUCCAGCUUGCUGCAGUCAUUACUACUAAGACCAUCUAAAUAGCAACUCGAAAAAACUAUUAAAGCAAUGUAAAUCGUAAUAAAUUAUUUUGGCUUUGUAUGGAUUAAAAGGUACACUUAGGAUGGACUUGGUUUUGGAUCAGGUUUUUUAAUGCUCUAGAGCAAAAGCGUGACAAGCCUUACAUCACUGGUGUGCAGAGGUGAUGGUGCUGUACUUUAAAUAACAGACACGAGGGCGUUGUGACUGGGAUAUUGUCACUGUAGCACUCACUUAAAAGUCGAUUUUUAGGGAAGCUUUUGCAAAGGUGUAUGGAAAACUGCUAUUGACUAUCUAAAGCGAAUUCAAGAAUAAUAUCCAGGAGGUGUUGCAGUAGAUGAGGAGGUGUUAAAGCGAACUGCUCACCAAAAUAAGUCAUACUGUAAGCUAGGAUCAAACCUUGCAAAACCAGGGUUUAUUGUGUGUAUAAGAAUGAAGCGGAGAAGACGCAUUUGAGUACAAAAGGGCAAAACUGAUCUUGAAUUUAAACACAAUUUACAUAAUCCUGCAAACAAGAAGAGGGGUUGGUACAACCAGAAUAAGUGGCUGCUUUGUGGUACCUUACAGAAAGGACAGCUUCAUCUGUGGAUAAAGACCAGGCAAAGGAGAUUUAUCAGCUCAUAGACAAGAGAGAAACAAAAGGAAGAUACAGAAGAGAAGUUGAAGAAGAAAGGAAAGAAAGAGGAGAAAAUAGUGGAGAAAAUCAGAACAGAGUUGGCUUUUCUAAAAGGAGUUGUCCAGGAAGCAAAAUGAGCAGCUUCCCUCCUCUUUUUUUUUCUGUUUUUAGCCCAUCCCAGAUACUGCAAUUCUGAGAUAAGUGGGUCAGGCAAAAGGGCAUAAUUAAUAGUGAUUUCACGGUUGCUGUGGGUAUGGGAGAGCAUAGUGGGAAGAAUAGAUUCAAGGAAGGGUUGGCAGGCUCUCAAUGGAAAGCUCCCAGCUGCGCCCCAGGUUGCCAUGCCUAUCUUCUGCCAUAAGAUUCUGAGCUGUGCCAGCCAGGUGGGAGCUGGAUCAGAGUGGGAAUAGAGCAGAUGGAUGCUCUACUGGAUGCUCUAGUGGAUGAAGUGCAGCACAUCUUAAGUACACUGAAUUUAGUAUGGGACAGGAUCUGUUUGUAAGAGCAGCUGGGAAGAGGAUGGAUCAACCCUUUGAAAAGCAUUGUGGGGAAACAAAGAGCUAAAUACCCUGACCAGGGGCCAUAAUGGGGCAUAAUUUUUUUUUUGUCAGAUAGUGUGAGUUUUACUACUAAGGAGCAAUUCCUCUGGCCCACAUGCAACUCCAGUUUCUCUUACCCUGCAGGGCUUUGUUUCCUCUGGUUGGUGAUGAUGUAGCAUCAGCGAGGCUUGCAUGGGAUGUCGUGCCCGUGGUCCAAGGAGAGCAAUCUGUGCAUUUCUGCUGAGAGAUUAACUUGAUUUUAACAUCUGGCGAUGAGAGCUACAUGCAGCAAGUUAGAGUUUGAAGAUGCCGCUGCAGAGAAACUUCUUCAAACAGAUGUAGUGCCGUUGCUGUCACAGAAGAUGGAAGGACUUGCGUUGUUCAAAUCCAGUUUCUGCAAACUUUAAUUUUAUUUGCUUUUCUUUUCCUGAUGGAGCUGGGUUACUAUGAAAUAGCCAUGCUGUGUCCUGGUCAGGGGAUGGUGCCGUAUUUUUGGAUGCUCCUAAAGCCCUGAUGGGUCUUUCCGAGUUCUGGUGCCCUGUCUGCUCUUGAGCAGGUGGAGCCUCUUGGAUUACUAUUCCUGAAUCUCUGUGCUUGGAUUACACAUGCCCAACAUCACCUGCUUGUGUUGUCACCGGGGCCUGCAAGAAAAGCUUUUCUCUUGUUGAAGAGAAAUGCCUGAACAGGAGCUUUUUACAUUCCUAUGGCACAUUCAACUUGGCCACUUUGGAAAUUCACGUGGUGGGAGCAGCAUGUCCUGGUUGCUAUAAAGAUUCACUUCAUUCAGCUGGGACCUUUCAGGGCCAGCUCUUUGGAGACCACUGACCGGCAGCCCUUGCUGGAGAUGGGUUGGUUGUGAGGUUGGACAUCGUGCUUGCAAAAGAAAGGCAAUGUAUGGGAUGGGCGCUCCCUGAUGCAGAGUGGGAGUGCAACACCUUGGGAAGACGAAUGUAUUUUUUUGCCUCCAGAAAAACAGUAAAUUCAUGCUUUUAGAUCUAUAAAAGUGCAUGUGGGUACCAGCAUAUUGCAGAAUAGUUGGCUAUGUACAUCUUGUGGUUUCAGCUCUUGCACGCAGAGGAUGAAGCAGAGGGGUUAGGCUUUUAUUUUAGAUCAAGUCUAUGUUUCAGAUUUAAGGACAUAUUAGUAAACUUCAUCUUGCCGUUUCUCCAUAUGGGUUUGAAUUUUAUGGUAUUGAACCUUUGUCCUUUUCAUGAAAAUAAAAAGACUGUUCUCUCUGUGGCUA
Long non-coding RNA from Corvus hawaiiensis (hawaiian crow), 6313 nucleotides. RefSeq lists it as uncharacterized. NCBI's taxonomy places the organism in Eukaryota, Metazoa, Chordata, Aves, Passeriformes, Corvidae. The transcript is spliced from 2 exons. The record is from RefSeq and is a predicted model, not a curated record.